CUACUAAGUGCUGAGUGAUUGCAAUGGCGGACGUGUCUGAGAGGACGCUGCACGUGUCCGUGCUGGUGGCUUUCGCCUCUGGGGUGGUCCUGGGCUGGCAAGCGAAUCGCCUGCGGAGGCGUUACCUGGACUGGAGGAAGCGGAGGUUGCAGGAUAAGCUGGCGACGACUCAGAAAAAGCUGGACCUGGCCUGAGCACGCGCUGCGGCCCGAGCCCGCCGGGUUCUCACUCCCCAAGCCCAACGCAGCCCAGAUCGUGGAAGCGGCGCGAUCACUUGCCCGGGAGUCCGGGGUCGUCUUUGCUCGACUUGCAAGAACGUGGCUUGCUUCCAGAUCUCAGAAAGAAAAUAGUUUUGUCUUCUCUAACAAAUUACUCUCAGCUUGUCGAAGAUGGAUAUAAAGCACUGGAAAGAAAUCAUUUCUUGCACUUUAUGAAGCUAUUUUUAAAAUAAAAAAAUUAAACGUCUUUGAAUCUUUUUCCUCCUCACAAAGGAAAGCAAUGUUUGGCCUACCAUUCAGUUUGCUGCAGUAAGAAAUCUGGAGCCUGUAAUCAGAGACUUUCUGAUGGAAUGUCACAUCCUUGGUACAGCCUGGAGACAGAUCUGGUCAAGGGACCACUAUGAGUCAUUUUUCUAGACAUAUUCAGAAAAACUAGGAGCUGUGUCAAAUGCCUGAAUUAAGCAUUACAAAUGCAAGAUAUUUGCACUUUGAAGACUAUAGAAAGUAAAAAAAAAAAACAAAAAAACAAAAAAAAAGUGAUAUAAUGGAAUAUACACGUGAAAGAAAAACUGUUGAGUAAGCUUAAAGAUAAAGCCAGUCAUAUCAAGUGA
Arvicanthis niloticus (Nile rat) is the source of this 829-nucleotide long non-coding RNA. RefSeq lists it as uncharacterized. NCBI's taxonomy places the organism in Eukaryota, Metazoa, Chordata, Mammalia, Rodentia, Muridae. The record is from RefSeq and is a predicted model, not a curated record.